Molecule: ribosomal RNA, 301 nt
Filed under: uncultured bacterium
Lineage: Bacteria
Description: partial 16S ribosomal RNA
Rfam family: Bacterial small subunit ribosomal RNA
Source: RNAcentral
CAGUCGCCGCGGUAAUACGUAGGUGGCAAGCGUUGUCCGGAAUUAUUGGGCGUAAAGGGCUCGCAGGCGGUUUCUUAAGUCUGAUGUGAAAGCCCCCGGCUCAACCGGGGAGGGUCAUUGGAAACUGGGAAACUUGAGUGCAGAAGAGGAGAGUGGAAUUCCACGUGUAGCGGUGAAAUGCGUAGAGAUGUGGAGGAACACCAGUGGCGAAGGCGACUCUCUGGUCUGUAACUGACGCUCAUGCACGAAAGCGUGGGGAGCAAACAGGAUUAGAUACCCGAGUAGUCCCUGUCUCUUAUAC